RNAcentral lists this ribosomal RNA (1232 nucleotides) under metagenome. RNAcentral describes it as "bacterial SSU rRNA". It matches the Rfam family "Bacterial small subunit ribosomal RNA", at positions 242 to 1499 of the family's 1533-position model. The record is from RNAcentral.
UAGCUAGUUGGUGAGGUAACGGCCCACCAAGGCGACGAUCGGUAGCCGGACUGAGAGGUUGAACGGCCACAUUGGGACUGAGACACGGCCCAGACUCCUACGGGAGGCAGCAGUGGGGAAUAUUGCACAAUGGGGGAAACCCUGAUGCAGCGACGCCGCGUGGAGGAAGAAGGUCUUCGGAUUGUAAACUCCUGUUGUUGAGGAAGAUAAUGACGGUACUCAACAAGGAAGUGACGGCUAACUACGUGCCAGCAGCCGCGGUAAAACGUAGGUCACAAGCGUUGUCCGGAAUUACUGGGUGUAAAGGGAGCGCAGGCGGGAAGACAAGUUGGAAGUGAAAUCUAUGGGCUCAACCCAUAAACUGCUUUCAAAACUGUUUUUCUUGAGUAGUGCAGAGGUAGGCGGAAUUCCCGGUGUAGCGGUGGAAUGCGUAGAUAUCGGGAGGAACACCAGUGGCGAAGGCGGCCUACUGGGCACCAACUGACGCUGAGGCUCGAAAGUGUGGGUAGCAAACAGGAUUAGAUACCCUGGUAGUCCACACCGUAAACGAUGAUUACUAGGUGUUGGAGGAUUGACCCCUUCAGUGCCGCAGUUAACACAAUAAGUAAUCCACCUGGGGAGUACGACCGCAAGGUUGAAACUCAAAGGAAUUGACGGGGGCCCGCACAAGCAGUGGAGUAUGUGGUUUAAUUCGACGCAACGCGAAGAACCUUACCAAGUCUUGACAUCCUGCGACGAUGCUGGAAACAGUAUUUUCCUUCGGGACGCAGAGACAGGUGGUGCAUGGUUGUCGUCAGCUCGUGUCGUGAGAUGUUGGGUUAAGUCCCGCAACGAGCGCAACCCUUACUGUCAGUUACUACGCAAGAGGACUCUGGCAGGACUGCCGUUGACAAAACGGAGGAAGGUGGGGAUGACGUCAAAUCAUCAUGCCCUUUAUGACUUGGGCUACACACGUACUACAAUGGCGUUAAACAAAGAGAAGCAAGACCGCGAGGUGGAGCAAAACUCAGAAACAACGUCCCAGUUCGGACUGCAGGCUGCAACUCGCCUGCACGAAGUCGGAAUUGCUAGUAAUCGUGGAUCAGCAUGCCACGGUGAAUACGUUCCCGGGCCUUGUACACACCGCCCGUCACACCAUGAGAGCCGGGGGGACCCGAAGUCGGUAGUCUAACCGCAAGGAGGACGCCGCCGAAGGUAAAACUGGUGAUUGGGGUGAAGUCGUAACAAGGUAG